UACGUAGGGGGCUAGCGUUGUCCGGAAUCAUUGGGCGUAAAGCGCGUGUAGGCGGUCCGGUAAGUCCGCUGUGAAAGUCGGGGGCUCAACCCUCGGAUGCCGGUGGAUACUGUCGGGCUUGAGUACGGAAGAGGCGAGUGGAAUUCCUGGUGUAGCGGUGAAAUGCGCAGAGUAUCAGGAGGAACACCAAUUGCGAAGGCAGCUCGCUGGGACGUUACUGACGCUGAGACGCGAAGCG
RNAcentral lists this ribosomal RNA (238 nucleotides) under uncultured bacterium. Its description in RNAcentral is "partial 16S ribosomal RNA". It matches the Rfam family "Bacterial small subunit ribosomal RNA", at positions 524 to 761 of the family's 1533-position model. The record is from RNAcentral.